GGGAAGCCUACCAUGCAAGUCGAGCGGAUCGAAGGGAGCUUGCUCCUGGAUUCAGGCGGCGGACGGGUGAGUAAUGCCUAGGAAUCUGCCUGGUAGUGGGGGAUAACGUCCGGAAACGGGCGCUAAUACCGCAUACGUCCUGAGGGAGAAAGUGGGGGAUCUUCGGACCUCACGCUAUCAGAUGAGCCUAGGUCGGAUUAGCUAGUUGGUGGGGUAAAGGCCUACCAAGGCGACGAUCCGUAACUGGUCUGAGAGGAUGAUCAGUCACACUGGAACUGAGACACGGUCCAGACUCCUACGGGAGGCAGCAGUGGGGAAUAUUGGACAAUGGGCGAAAGCCUGAUCCAGCCAUGCCGCGUGUGUGAAGAAGGUCUUCGGAUUGUAAAGCACUUUAAGUUGGGAGGAAGGGCAGUAAGUUAAUACCUUGCUGUUUUGACGUUACCAACAGAAUAAGCACCGGCUAACUUCGUGCCAGCAGCCGCGGUAAUA
This 489-nucleotide ribosomal RNA is filed under the name Pseudomonas aeruginosa. RNAcentral describes it as "bacterial SSU rRNA". It matches the Rfam family "Bacterial small subunit ribosomal RNA", at positions 41 to 525 of the family's 1533-position model. The record is from RNAcentral. Lineage: Bacteria; Pseudomonadati; Pseudomonadota; Gammaproteobacteria; Pseudomonadales; Pseudomonadaceae.